This 255-nucleotide ribosomal RNA is filed under the name uncultured bacterium. Its description in RNAcentral is "partial 16S ribosomal RNA". It matches the Rfam family "Bacterial small subunit ribosomal RNA", at positions 524 to 777 of the family's 1533-position model. The record is from RNAcentral.
UACGUAGGGUGCAAGCGUUAAUCGGAAUUACUGGGCGUAAAGCGUGCGCAGGCGGUUUUGUAAGUUUGUCGUGAAAGCCCCGGGCUCAACCUGGGAAUUGCGAUGAAGACUGCAAGGCUUGAAUCUGGCAGAGGGGGGUAGAAUUCCACGUGUAGCAGUGAAAUGCGUAGAGAUGUGGAGGAACACCGAUGGCGAAGGCAGCCCCCUGGGUCAAGAUUGACGCUCAUGCACGAAAGCGUGGGGGAGCAAACAGGA